Molecule: ribosomal RNA, 252 nt
Filed under: uncultured bacterium
Lineage: Bacteria
Description: partial 16S ribosomal RNA
Rfam family: Bacterial small subunit ribosomal RNA
Source: RNAcentral
UACGGAGGAUGCGAGCGUUAUCCGGAUUUAUUGGGUUUAAAGGGUGCGCAGGCGGCACGGCAAGCCGGCGGUCAAAUCGCGGGGCUCAACCCCGCCCAGCCGUCGGAACUGCCGGGCUAGAGUGGGCGAGAAGUGCGCGGAAUGCGUGGUGUAGCGGUGAAAUGCGUAGAUAUCACGCAGAACUCCGAUUGCGAAGGCAGCGCACCGGCGCCCUACUGACGCUCAGGCACGAAAGCGUGGGUAUCGAACAGG